Molecule: non-coding RNA, 30 nt
Filed under: Rattus norvegicus (Norway rat)
Lineage: Eukaryota; Metazoa; Chordata; Mammalia; Rodentia; Muridae
Source: RNAcentral
UAAAACGGGUGAUUGACCUAAGCUCUCUUG